UUUGUGAUGUGCUUUUUACCUCUUAGGUGGUGGUUGUGCUUCCGGUGCUUUAGGCAUGCGUCUUCUUGUUUCGUGGUAACUUUGUUCAUCCGAUGAUUAUUCUUUCUCUAACCCGUUUUUUUUUUCUUUAUGUGCAGGUGCUUGAUCGCGAUCCUUUCUGUUCUGGAGAUCAUUUUGUCUCAUAUUUUAUCAUUUUACCUUUUUCUGACAUCUGUUUUUUCUAAUCAAGACAUUCUAUGGUAAGAUGAGAUAAAUUAGUCUUCUUUGUUGAUAUAUUUUCAGCUCCAAACCUUUAUUAAGUUGGUGUUACUAUCGUAUUAUUCUUUUUUUCUAUGAUUGUGGAAGUCUUAAGUUUAGAUUAUGUAUUGCACUCUAGUUUCUUCUUAUUAGUUUAGUCAUUUUGUAUUUUUAAUAGUUAAAUAAAUAUAUAAUUUGUAAAUAAAAU
Molecule: long non-coding RNA, 445 nt
Filed under: Brassica napus (rape)
Lineage: Eukaryota; Viridiplantae; Streptophyta; Magnoliopsida; Brassicales; Brassicaceae
Description: long non-coding RNA (BNAP_LNC017559)
Source: RNAcentral